This 433-nucleotide ribosomal RNA is filed under the name uncultured Actinoplanes sp. RNAcentral describes it as "bacterial SSU rRNA". It matches the Rfam family "Bacterial small subunit ribosomal RNA", at positions 958 to 1392 of the family's 1533-position model. Lineage: Bacteria; Bacillati; Actinomycetota; Actinomycetes; Micromonosporales; Micromonosporaceae. The record is from RNAcentral.
AACGCGAAGAACCUUACCUGGGUUUGACAUCGCCGGAAAACUCGUAGAGAUACGGGGUCCUUCGGGGCCGGUGACAGGUGGUGCAUGGCUGUCGUCAGCUCGUGUCGUGAGAUGUUGGGUUAAGUCCCGCAACGAGCGCAACCCUCGUUCGAUGUUGCCAGCGCGCUAUGGCGGGGACUCAUCGAAGACUGCCGGGGUCAACUCGGAGGAAGGUGGGGAUGACGUCAAGUCAUCAUGCCCCUUAUGUCCAGGGCUUCACGCAUGCUACAAUGGCCGGUACAAAGGGUUGCGAUGCCGUGAGGUGGAGCGAAUCCCAAAAAGCCGGUCACAGUUCGGAUCGGGGUCUGCAACUCGACCCCGUGAAGUCGGAGUCGCUAGUAAUCGCAGAUUAGCAACGCUGCGGUGAAUACGUUCCCGGGCCUUGUACACACCG